This 73-nucleotide transfer RNA is filed under the name Ovis aries (sheep). It matches the Rfam family "tRNA". Rfam says of the family: Transfer RNA (tRNA) molecules are approximately 80 nucleotides in length. Their secondary structure includes four short double-helical elements and three loops (D, anti-codon, and T loops). Further hydrogen bonds mediate the characteristic L-shaped molecular structure. tRNAs have two regions of fundamental functional importance: the anti-codon, which is responsible for specific mRNA codon recognition, and the 3' end, to which the tRNAs corresponding amino acid is attached (by aminoacyl-tRNA synthetases). tRNAs cope with the degeneracy of the genetic code in two manners: having more than one tRNA (with a specific anti-codon) for a particular amino acid; and 'wobble' base-pairing, i.e. permitting non-standard base-pairing at the 3rd anti-codon position. The record is from Rfam by way of RNAcentral. Lineage: Eukaryota; Metazoa; Chordata; Mammalia; Artiodactyla; Bovidae.
UCCCUGAUGGUCCAUUGGUUAAGACUCUGCACUUUCAAAGGAGGAGGCACAGGUUCAAUCCUUGGUCAGGGAA